Pteropus vampyrus (large flying fox) is the source of this 128-nucleotide ribosomal RNA. The record is from Ensembl. NCBI's taxonomy places the organism in Eukaryota, Metazoa, Chordata, Mammalia, Chiroptera, Pteropodidae.
GUCUACGGCCAUGCUACCCUGAACAUGCCCUAUCUCGCUUGAUCUCAGAAGCUAAGCAGGGUCGGGCCUGGUUAGUACUUGGAUGGGAGACUUGGAUGGGAGAGGGCUCGACAAAGGAGCGGUGGCCC